Molecule: ribosomal RNA, 440 nt
Filed under: uncultured bacterium
Lineage: Bacteria
Description: partial 16S ribosomal RNA
Rfam family: Bacterial small subunit ribosomal RNA
Source: RNAcentral
CCUACGGGGGGCUGCAGUCGAGAAUCAUUCACAAUGGGGGAAACCCUGAACCAGCAACGCCGCGUGAGGGAAGACGGUUUUCGGAUUGUAAACCUCUGUCCUCUGUGAAGAUAAUGACGGUAGCAGAGGAGGAAGCUCCGGCUAACUACGUGCCAGCAGCCGCGGUAAUACGUAGGGAGCAAGCGUUGUCCGGAUUUACUGGGUGUAAAGGGUGCGUAGGCGGCCCUGCAAGUCAGAAGUGAAAUCCAUGGGCUUAACCCGUGAACUGCUUUUGAAACUGUAGGGCUUGAGUGAAGUAGAGGCAGGCGGAAUUCCCGGUGUAGCGGUGAAAUGCGUAGAGAUCGGGAGGAACACCAGUGGCGAAGGCAGCCUGCUGGGCUUUAACUGACGCUGAAGCACGAAAGCGUGGGUAGCAAACAGGAUUAGAUACCCUUGUAGUC